UACUUCACAAAGCUCCGCCAUAUUCCGCCAACCGUGCAAGGUAGUAGAGAACCAUUGUUACUCAUUGAAGACACAGACACAGCAUUGAGUAAGCUCUGUCCCAAGACCACAAAGGAGAGAAAGGUAGAGGUGGCAUUCUUUAGGGAAGCUUCUUCAGGGCAUGGUCAGCACCAAAUGGAAGGGGAGACUCCAAAGAGUGGGUAAUUAACUGGUUGAAUAAAACUGAGGGCAUGACACAGGGCAUGGGUGCCCACCAACUGGAUGCAGCUCGAAGAAUCAGAAGUAACUUUGCUGAUGCAAGAAGUUGGCACCAUAAAGCCCCGAGAGCACGGCAGAGCCAGUCCCCACGUGCGACUUGAGCAGGGCUACAAAUGGCGGCAAGUUGGGAGUGAGGAGACGGAGCCCGCAUUUUGCAAGUUAGUCCUGGGUUAACUCACGCAUGCGAAGACAAGAUAGAAAAGAUGCUUUGAGGAUGACAUCUUAUUUUUGAGAUGCUAUAAUAGAUUUUC
Long non-coding RNA from Panthera uncia (snow leopard), 509 nucleotides. RefSeq lists it as uncharacterized. The transcript has 3 exons. The record is from RefSeq and is a predicted model, not a curated record. NCBI's taxonomy places the organism in Eukaryota, Metazoa, Chordata, Mammalia, Carnivora, Felidae.